ACCAUUGUAGAGAAGGCGACUUGUGAGCCCCAGCCCCAUCUCCAUGUUGUUAGGGCAAAAACCUGGCAAGAAUAAAUAAAAAGAAGAAUAAGGUAAGAGCUUACCGAUACUCAAGUCACUCCGAAGCUUGAGCUAGAACAUUAACAAUCUUUGCGCAAUUAUCACCGGGUCCUAGGCUAGGGUUUCAAAAUUUCAGGUCCACAGCCAGGACUCAUCUUUUCAUCUUCCUCAUCCUAUCUUCUUCGGCGAGUGAAGUCGCCCCGAUUCUCUCUGUACGGGACCGCAUUCUCUUCCUUCCUCUUGACGGUAUGUCUACUUCAUUUCUUCUUCAAGUGAAAAUAUCGUCUCCUAUGCAGAGUACGUUGUCUCUGCUUCUACAUUUCAUAUAUGUUAUUUCUCUUCGCUUGGUGUCUGCCUUUUCAAGUUCUGUUUCUCUUGUAUUUACUGCUACAAUCUCUUCUACGGCUGUGUAUUUCAUGUCUUUCUUUGUAUGCAGUUGCAUUCUUUUCGUGGAAUUCUCAACGGGGCUGUCUAAGUUUGUUGCUAGAAUUCAUAGAGGGAUUCCUUUUAUUUCUGUUAUGUGUGGAUAUGGUUUAGGGUAAUGUAGUUUGUAAGUAUGAUUAGUAGGUUCUAUUAAUGAUCACUUACUCGCUACUUAGAGAUACCUCUAAAAUCCCUAACGCAUCAAAACCAUUAACUCUAUUUUACCCUAUAUAACAGUUUGUUUAUAUUAGACUCAAUAUGUAUUUAUACUGCUUAUAUCUGCUAAAAUUCUGGCACAGGGCUUGUUUCUAGUCUAUCCAUGUAUUUAUCGUUUUUAUAGCUUGGAGAUGUGCUGUGUUUUCCAGAUUCUGACGGAUGCCAUGUAAAUUGUAAAUCUUGAAUAUUUUGCUCUCUCUAAGAAUGAAAUUCAUGCUAUACCAAUAAAAAGAAAAGAUUUUUAAUAUCUAGUAAGUUAUCAGAACAUUCUUCUCUGUUUUUAACUCGCGGAUUAAUAUGGCUGUGUAAUGAACAUAGCCACAAGUUUGCCAUAUUUCAUUAUGUUUGGGAUAAUUAGCACGGUUAAUUAGGCAAAAUUUAUAAGAAAUCCAGUUUACCCUAUUAUUGAAAACCCAACUAAACAGUGUUGCAAAAUUUCCAGGAUUCUUUGCCCUGGAGAGAAUUCAAAAACCACUGUAUAUACACACAGUUGCACCAAAACCCCAUUUGGUGUUCGUC
Molecule: long non-coding RNA, 1218 nt
Filed under: Carica papaya (papaya)
Lineage: Eukaryota; Viridiplantae; Streptophyta; Magnoliopsida; Brassicales; Caricaceae
Description: long non-coding RNA (CPAP_LNC014413)
Source: RNAcentral